Molecule: ribosomal RNA, 1008 nt
Filed under: Salmonella enterica
Lineage: Bacteria; Pseudomonadati; Pseudomonadota; Gammaproteobacteria; Enterobacterales; Enterobacteriaceae
Description: bacterial SSU rRNA
Rfam family: Bacterial small subunit ribosomal RNA
Source: RNAcentral
GCGGACGGGUGAGUAAUGUCUGGGAAACUGCCUGAUGGAGGGGGAUAACUACUGGAAACGGUGGCUAAUACCGCAUAACGUCGCAAGACCAAAGAGGGGGACCUUCGGGCCUCUUGCCAUCAGAUGUGCCCAGAUGGGAUUAGCUUGUUGGUGAGGUAACGGCUCACCAAGGCGACGAUCCCUAGCUGGUCUGAGAGGAUGACCAGCCACACUGGAACUGAGACACGGUCCAGACUCCUACGGGAGGCAGCAGUGGGGAAUAUUGCACAAUGGGCGCAAGCCUGAUGCAGCCAUGCCGCGUGUAUGAAGAAGGCCUUCGGGUUGUAAAGUACUUUCAGCGGGGAGGAAGGUGUUGUGGUUAAUAACCGCAGCAAUUGACGUUACCCGCAGAAGAAGCACCGGCUAACUCCGUGCCAGCAGCCGCGGUAAUACGGAGGGUGCAAGCGUUAAUCGGAAUUACUGGGCGUAAAGCGCACGCAGGCGGUCUGUCAAGUCGGAUGUGAAAUCCCCGGGCUCAACCUGGGAACUGCAUUCGAAACUGGCAGGCUUGAGUCUUGUAGAGGGGGGUAGAAUUCCAGGUGUAGCGGUGAAAUGCGUAGAGAUCUGGAGGAAUACCGGUGGCGAAGGCGGCCCCCUGGACAAAGACUGACGCUCAGGUGCGAAAGCGUGGGGAGCAAACAGGAUUAGAUACCCUGGUAGUCCACGCCGUAAACGAUGUCUACUUGGAGGUUGUGCCCUUGAGGCGUGGCUUCCGGAGCUAACGCGUUAAGUAGACCGCCUGGGGAGUACGGCCGCAAGGUUAAAACUCAAAUGAAUUGACGGGGGCCCGCACAAGCGGUGGAGCAUGUGGUUUAAUUCGAUGCAACGCGAAGAACCUUACCUGGUCUUGACAUCCACAGAACUUUCCAGAGAUGGAUUGGUGCCUUCGGGAACUGUGAGACAGGUGCUGCAUGGCUGUCGUCAGCUCGUGUUGUGAAAUGUUGGGUUAAGUCCCGCAACGAGCGCAAC